UCUAGGAAGGUGUUUUAUAAGCUAUGAAAUGCUAAAUGGAUCUCCAGCUAUUCUGUAAGACUGCUUCUGAUAGCGUCUGCUUAUUGAAUAAUAAAAUAGUACAAGAAAGACUCUUGGUGUUAGAGCGGGGGAGAGAAAAUUACAACUUAAUAAGAUCUUAUUCUUCAUAGAGAUUUCCAUCCAUGACACAUCGAUUUCACAUAUCCUGUGCGGGAUACAGUUUUAUAUUUUCAGGGUACAGGUGCUGGUAGAUGUGGCAGUGGGUACUUGUGGAAGAUCUGGAUUCUUAUUUCUUCAAGAAAUAUGUAAAAUCAACUGAGCAUGAAAAUGGAGAACUGUUGAGGACAAUGGAAGUUGAGUAGAACGGGUUAAAGCAGUAUGUUACAGUAUCAUGUGCAACAGUACCAUAAGCAACGGUAAGAAAACUCUUAGGAUUAGCCAUAAAUUUAAGCAGGGUUGAACAUCCUUCAGCAUGUUCAGCUAUCUGGAUACAAGUGUGGAAUACGUAGAACAUUGGAAAAAGGCUUGUGGUUUUAAGUGCAUAGGACAAAGUGAGAGGGGCAGGCAGAGCAUGGAAGAUGUUUAGACAAAUUUGAGGGGCUGUUUGGAGUACC
This 614-nucleotide long non-coding RNA is filed under the name Homo sapiens (human). Its description in RNAcentral is "HSALNT0262556". The record is from RNAcentral. Lineage: Eukaryota; Metazoa; Chordata; Mammalia; Primates; Hominidae.